RNAcentral lists this ribosomal RNA (444 nucleotides) under uncultured bacterium. Its description in RNAcentral is "partial 16S ribosomal RNA". It matches the Rfam family "Bacterial small subunit ribosomal RNA", at positions 338 to 796 of the family's 1533-position model. The record is from RNAcentral.
CCUACGGGAGGCAGCAGUGGGGAAUAUUGGUCAAUGGAGGAAACUCUGAACCAGCCACGCCGCGUGAAUGAUGAAGGUCUUCGGAUUGUAAAGUUCUUUUCUAAGGGAAGAAGAUAGUGACGGUACCUUCGGAAUAAGCCUCGGCUAACUACGUGCCAGCAGCCGCGGUAAUCCGUAGGAGGCAAGCGUUAUACGGAAUGACUGGGCGUACAGGGUGCGUAGGUGGUUUGGCAAGUUAGUAGCGUAACCCCGUGGAUCAACCUCGGAACUACUACUAAACCUUGCGGACUUGAGUGCAGGAGGGGCAAUUGGAAAUGCUAGGGUAGCGGUGGAAUGCGUAGAUAUGAGGAGGAACACCAGUGGCGAAGGCGAAUUGCUGGACUGUAACUGACACUGAGGCACGAAAGCGUGGGGAGCAAACAGGAUUAGAUACCCGAGUAGUCC